RNAcentral lists this unclassified non-coding RNA (208 nucleotides) under uncultured fungus. RNAcentral's name for it is "sequence contains ITS1". Lineage: Eukaryota; Fungi. The record is from RNAcentral.
GUUUCAUUUUUUUGUAAAAACCAACACAAUUAUUCAACUUUAAAAAGGUUUUAUAAAAGCAGACAAGGCAAUUUUCACAGCCUUGACUUGGAGUGCACAGGGGAUAUGUAAAGAAGGUUGUGGAGUGCACAAAUUUAUGUAUUGAAUAACUUCAAUACCAGCACAUCCUUUAUCAAUAAUGAUCCUUCCGCAGGUUCACCUACGGAAA